RNAcentral lists this ribosomal RNA (54 nucleotides) under Plantago lanceolata (narrow-leaved plantain). RNAcentral's name for it is "partial 28S ribosomal RNA". The record is from RNAcentral. Lineage: Eukaryota; Viridiplantae; Streptophyta; Magnoliopsida; Lamiales; Plantaginaceae.
ACCGCGACCCCAGGUCAGACGGGACUACCCGCUGAGUUUAAGCAUACAUAGCGC